This 340-nucleotide long non-coding RNA is filed under the name Canis lupus familiaris (dog). RNAcentral describes it as "lncRNA (ENSCAFG00000058848.1)". The record is from RNAcentral. Lineage: Eukaryota; Metazoa; Chordata; Mammalia; Carnivora; Canidae.
UUGUCUCUGCAGCUUUUCUUGCAGAGCUAUUGGAAAGUCCAGUGAGCACAAGAGAGGAGAGGGUCGAGUAAAGUAAGAGGUGAGACAGGAUGCUGAGCCACAUGCCAUUCUGAUAGAGAAUCAUUUCCACACUUCUGGCUGGCUGUCUAUAAAGCAGGCCCUCUCUUCCCAGAACAGUCUGCAAAUAGAGAUUCUGAUGGAGAGAGGCAACAGUAAAACAGGAUGGGAGAAGACAUAGCCCUUAAUUUCACAGGGCUCUCAUGAAGGAAACUGAGUGGGGACAAGUGUCUUCGGAAGACACGGAGUGGAAUCAUCCUUCAUCCAGAUCCUAAGCUCUGCU